UUUUCAAAAAACCAAUUUAAAUUAAAGAAAUUGUGAUUUUAACUUGAAUGUAAUUUAUUUUGAGUUUUUACAUUAAAAAAAUGAAAAUGUAGGUGUGUUUCUAAUUAUAUAUGAGUUUAGAAGACAUUUUUAUAAAUUUUGAGACCAAAUAUCUUUUCGGGUUUUUAGUGCGAUCAUUUCAAGCGAGCAAAAGUGAAAGUAGAAAAGCAGAAAGUUUCCGGUGAGGAAAAAUACUUCAUUCUAGCAGUGUCCAGCUAUCUAAGAUUAGUUUGCAUUGUAAGGGAAUUGUAUUAGUGUCCGAUAACAUGUAAAUUGAAAUGGAAGUCUUCUUCAAAGAAUAAAACACAACAAUGAGCCACACUUGAUAGUUUUUCAAUACAGACGCAUUUUGCCGGAAAACGAAUCUGACUUCAAACCAAGAAAUUUUAACAGGAAAGAGACAAUUUGAUGAGCUUUCAUUCAAGAGGUCCCUCGUUGCUGAACGAAAAUUAGGGCCGGAGCUAUGAACCAUAACGUUAACAUUACCGCCUAUGGAAUAUGCAUUAGUGGACUAUACCCAC
Molecule: long non-coding RNA, 560 nt
Organism: Magallana angulata
Lineage: Eukaryota; Metazoa; Mollusca; Bivalvia; Ostreida; Ostreidae
Exons: 3
Source: RefSeq, a predicted model, not a curated record